UACAACUUUCAACAACGGAUCUCUUGGCUCUCGCAUCGAUGAAGAACGCAGCGAAAUGCGAUAAGUAAUGUGAAUUGCAGAAUUCAGUGAAUCAUCGAAUCUUUGAACGCACCUUGCGCCCUUUGGUAUUCCGAAGGGCAUGCCUGUUUGAGUGUC
Molecule: ribosomal RNA, 156 nt
Filed under: Inonotus rickii
Lineage: Eukaryota; Fungi; Basidiomycota; Agaricomycetes; Hymenochaetales; Hymenochaetaceae
Description: 5.8S ribosomal RNA
Rfam family: 5.8S ribosomal RNA
About the family: 5.8S ribosomal RNA (5.8S rRNA) is a component of the large subunit of the eukaryotic ribosome. It is transcribed by RNA polymerase I as part of the 45S precursor that also contains 18S and 28S rRNA. Functionally, it is thought that 5.8S rRNA may be involved in ribosome translocation.
Source: RNAcentral